Molecule: small RNA, 532 nt
Filed under: Oryza sativa Japonica Group (Japanese rice)
Lineage: Eukaryota; Viridiplantae; Streptophyta; Magnoliopsida; Poales; Poaceae
Description: sRNA Os09g0557250
Source: RNAcentral
UGAUUUCGCGCUCUGGUUCAUGCGGUUUGUGAAUUCUGUACGCUGUGAAUGAUUCGCAGGAAGUUGGAGGUUGAAGAGAUGGAAUCGGCGAAGAAAUUCUUGGAGGGGAGGGAGGUUGAUGACGAACGAGCCGAGUUCUUGAAAACAGGUGAGUUUUAUACAGUCUUAACUGACUGAGUUUGAGCUUGAGACGUAAUGCAGCUAAUUGACUGAACCUAUACUUUCCUGACAUUUGCCUGACCACCUCAUUCACAUUUUUGGAGCAUCAACAAUUAGUCUUGUUCAUCCUUUUUAUCAAUUCAUUAACCCUGAAUUAACAAUCAGUGCCUCUGGGAAGUGGUGUUAAAAGUUGCUCUCAUACAUGCCAUGUAAAUUAUCCACCUCAACAGCUCAAUCCUAUUGUUCAAGCCAUGUAUGACUCUAGUAAUAAGAUGGGUUUUAGCUUAUUCAGUGGCUCAGUUCUAGUAGAAAAACUGCAAUUCCAUUUGAGAAAAUCACUAAGCACGCUCAUCUGAUUAUAUUGGUGCUCUGG